This 75-nucleotide transfer RNA is filed under the name Woeseiaceae bacterium. Its description in RNAcentral is "tRNA-Lys". It matches the Rfam family "tRNA". From Rfam's summary of the family: Transfer RNA (tRNA) molecules are approximately 80 nucleotides in length. Their secondary structure includes four short double-helical elements and three loops (D, anti-codon, and T loops). Further hydrogen bonds mediate the characteristic L-shaped molecular structure. tRNAs have two regions of fundamental functional importance: the anti-codon, which is responsible for specific mRNA codon recognition, and the 3' end, to which the tRNAs corresponding amino acid is attached (by aminoacyl-tRNA synthetases). tRNAs cope with the degeneracy of the genetic code in two manners: having more than one tRNA (with a specific anti-codon) for a particular amino acid; and 'wobble' base-pairing, i.e. permitting non-standard base-pairing at the 3rd anti-codon position. Lineage: Bacteria; Pseudomonadati; Pseudomonadota; Gammaproteobacteria; Woeseiales; Woeseiaceae. The record is from RNAcentral.
GGGGGUAUAGCUCAGGGGUAGAGCAUCGGCCUUUUAAGCCGUUGGUCCUAGGUUCAAUUCCUAGUGCCCCCACCA